AUGUGGCGCUAUUGUGAUUUAAGUAAUGAUUGCACCUGUAUUUUCCAUAUUUUUACAGUGUCAAACUUCCUUGAUGGUUGCCCUGACGCGCAGCCGUCAGAAUUUCAUUUCCUUCUUACUCUCAUAAUCAUUAAGGUGCCAUGUAGAGCCCGCCUUAAGGACUUUUUACUGAUAAUCAUGAUACUACUUGUUUCUUUUAAUGGUGACCAAAAAAAAAAGUCAUGAUUUAAACAUACACACAAACAGGCAGGUUAAGCAUCAUGGACACUUAUAUAACAAUGUCAAGUAUUGGUCAACUCUAAAUCAUUUCAAAAACAAUUUUGCAGAAGGCUUUGGAUCUCCAGUGCAACUUCGAUCAUGCAAGCGGAUAACUUGAUUUUAUUGGGGAACCAUAUGCGCCCCGUUUCAAGAGCAAAUUCUGACAGACCCAAAUUCUCUGUCGUUGGUUGCCAAAUUUUCUAUAAGUUCGUUAUUUUAUGCACCAAUAAACGAAUGUUGGUAAAAAAGAAUCAAUGGUACUUUUUCUUUCCUUUCGUGGAAUUCCAUGACUUUAAUAUCAUUAGCGUGCUCGGCGAUUAGCGAUUACUCGGUCAUUUAAACCUACGGAAAAGGAUCGAUAGACACGGCGAUCGCAUCGAACACCUAAAUAAUCGAUUCCUCACCACAGCUUCAAAUGAGUAGAUAUCGAUAAUCGAACCCUUACGCCUCGCCAUUAAGUAGUAUCGUUGUAAAAGCAGAGUUGCAGGGUUUAACAAGGAAAAUGAAAUCAAAACUUUUAUAUAAAUAGCUCACGAUUACUAAUCACAAUAACUGUUAUUAUUAUCAUUACCUACUCGUAGCAAGUGCACUGAAAUUAGAUUCACUAGCAUUUGUUCGGUUUAACUAUUUAGAAUUAGUACACACAAAAAAUAUCUAUAUUACAUGUCGAAAAAAAAACUACAUUCAGAAUGUGAUGCGCAAACUUUAAAAAUCUACCUUGAAACCGAAAAAUCAGUUAAUUUUUGCAUACGAAAAUUCUUAAUUACCUAAUAAAUUAAGUGAAAGUUGCAGGUUGGCAACUCCGUCAAGGUUUUUGUCAACUUAAAAACAAAACAAGGGUUCGCGGCAAAGUGCGCGAUGACGAAAUCAAUAUCCAUCCGUUUCGGAUCAUUAAG
This 1154-nucleotide long non-coding RNA is filed under the name Bemisia tabaci. Its description in RNAcentral is "lncRNA ENSSSA1NGG006266". The record is from RNAcentral. Lineage: Eukaryota; Metazoa; Arthropoda; Insecta; Hemiptera; Aleyrodidae.